UAAGGUUCGACUCGAGCGAAAGCGAGAGAACGUUGCCAACGGCAACGGCCCGUAGGGUGAGGAGCGAAGCGACGAAUAAUCCUUCCCCCACCACCA
This 96-nucleotide small RNA is filed under the name Salmonella enterica. RNAcentral's name for it is "partial RtT sRNA". It matches the Rfam family "RtT RNA", at positions 37 to 130 of the family's 130-position model. From Rfam's summary of the family: This family represents a bacterial cis-regulatory element known as RtT RNA. The exact function of RtT is unknown although it is thought that it may be involved in changing the cellular response in relation to amino acid starvation. The record is from RNAcentral. Lineage: Bacteria; Pseudomonadati; Pseudomonadota; Gammaproteobacteria; Enterobacterales; Enterobacteriaceae. RNAcentral also lists the same sequence under 1 other name.